UGUGUGCAUGUGCAUGUGUGUAA
RNAcentral lists this non-coding RNA (23 nucleotides) under Mus musculus (house mouse). Its record names the gene mmu-miR-466j. Lineage: Eukaryota; Metazoa; Chordata; Mammalia; Rodentia; Muridae. The record is from miRBase by way of RNAcentral.